AGGCGCCUCUCCCCUCUCAUUCACGUUUCUGGAAAAAAACCAAUUUAGGAGAGCAAACUUUCUCCUCUUUCUCACGUUUCUGGAAAAACAAACUUAGGAGAACAAACCUUCUCCUCUCUCGCAACGAUCAACAACAACGAAACCCUCUCGGUUUGCUCUUCUCACGGCCAACAACAACACUCAGUUUCUCUCUCAACUGGUCACUCUCGCCGUGAACAACCACAAACUACGGUUCUCCUCACUGAGCAACGAGAACGAUAGCGGCCAUGGAAGAAGCUUGAAGAACUCAGGUAUGCUUCUUCCCAAAUUUCGUUUUUGUUUUCUUUUUAAUGAUAGCUCAGUAAUCGCUCAUUCAUCUUUUCCGAUUGCUCACUGUGAACGAACAAUUGACAACAAACUCUCUUUACCGCUCUCGGCUCUCUCUCUCUCUCUGAGUUUUCACCGAACAAACAACAACCACAUCAUAAUCCUCUCUCUCGGUUUGCUCUCAGUUCUCUCGGAUUCUCAUCAAGUCGCAACAACACAAGGCCGUGGAGGAGAAACAAAGCUCAUACCAACAAGAACAACUCAAGUGAACUGAUUUUCAGAAAUAUAAAACGAGGAACUAAAUUUAACAGCAAUAACAAUUUUGAGAGCAAGAGAGGAAUUGACUUACCUAUGGCAAGGAUAGUUCCGCCGGAUUAUGUUGAGGUACAAUCAACGGUUAAUGGAAUUAUGGAGAGUGAAAGAAAAGAGGCUUACCUGCGGCAAAGAUGUUGAAGAUUCAUCUAUGGAGGCUCGAAGAUGGGAGCCAUCGUUGAAGGUUGCUAGCAAGCAAG
Long non-coding RNA from Vicia villosa (hairy vetch), 818 nucleotides. RefSeq lists it as uncharacterized. The record is from RefSeq and is a predicted model, not a curated record. Lineage: Eukaryota; Viridiplantae; Streptophyta; Magnoliopsida; Fabales; Fabaceae. The transcript is spliced from 3 exons.